RNAcentral lists this ribosomal RNA (96 nucleotides) under Escherichia coli. Lineage: Bacteria; Pseudomonadati; Pseudomonadota; Gammaproteobacteria; Enterobacterales; Enterobacteriaceae. RNAcentral also lists the same sequence under 1 other name. The record is from RNAcentral.
UGUCCCACCUGACCCCAUGCCGAACUCAGAAGUGAAACGCCGUAGCGCCGAUGGUAGUGUGGGGUCUCCCCAUGCGAGAGUAGGGAACUGCCAGGC